This 253-nucleotide ribosomal RNA is filed under the name uncultured bacterium. RNAcentral describes it as "partial 16S ribosomal RNA". It matches the Rfam family "Bacterial small subunit ribosomal RNA", at positions 524 to 776 of the family's 1533-position model. The record is from RNAcentral.
UACGAAGGGGGCUAGCGUUGUUCGGAUUUACUGGGCGUAAAGCGCACGUAGGCGGAUCGUUAAGUGAGGGGUGAAAUCCCAGGGCUCAACCCUGGAACUGCCUUUCAUACUGGCGAUCUCGAGUCCGGAAGAGGUGAGUGGAACUCCUAGUGUAGAGGUGGAAUUCGUAGAUAUUAGGAAGGACACCAGUGGCGAAGGCGGCUCACUGGGCCGGUACUGACGCUGAGGUGCGAAAGCGUGGGGAGCAAACAGG